Molecule: non-coding RNA, 30 nt
Filed under: Homo sapiens (human)
Lineage: Eukaryota; Metazoa; Chordata; Mammalia; Primates; Hominidae
Source: RNAcentral
UUGGAAGAGGAGCCACCCUCAGGGAAAGAC